ACUUAAAUAGCUUAAAUUUAAAGCAUAAUAUUGAAGAUAUUAAUAUAAUUAAAAAAUUUUUAAGUA
RNAcentral lists this transfer RNA (66 nucleotides) under Cucujoidea sp. 19 KM-2017. RNAcentral's name for it is "tRNA-Phe". The record is from RNAcentral. Lineage: Eukaryota; Metazoa; Arthropoda; Insecta; Coleoptera.